Molecule: ribosomal RNA, 253 nt
Filed under: uncultured bacterium
Lineage: Bacteria
Description: partial 16S ribosomal RNA
Rfam family: Bacterial small subunit ribosomal RNA
Source: RNAcentral
GACAGAGGGGGCAAGCGUUGCUCGGAAUUACUGGGCGUAAAGGGCGCGUAGGCGGAAUGGCAAGUCGGUCGUGAAAUCCUUCGGCUCAACCGAAGAACGUCGAUCGAAACUGCCGUUCUUGAGGAUUGCAGAGGAGACUGGAAUUCCCGGUGUAGCGGUGAAAUGCGUAGAGAUCGGGAGGAACACCGGUGGCGAAGGCGGGUCUCUGGGCAAUUCCUGACGCUGAGGCGCGAAAGCGUGGGGAGCAAACGGG